Molecule: non-coding RNA, 72 nt
Organism: Baffinella frigidus
Lineage: Eukaryota; Cryptophyceae; Cryptomonadales; Baffinellaceae
Source: the annotation of a GenBank genome assembly
GGUCCCAUGGUCUAGUGGUCAUGACAUGAGACUUUGAAUCUCAGGACGCGGGUUCGAACCCCGCUGGGACUU